GCUCAGAUUGAACGCUGGCGGCAGGCCUAACACAUGCAAGUCGAGCGGUAACAUUUCUAGCUUGCUAGAAGAUGACGAGCGGCGGACGGGUGAGUAAUGCUUGGGAACAUGCCUUGAGGUGGGGGACAACCAUUGGAAACGAUGGCUAAUACCGCAUGAUGUCUACGGACCAAAGGGGGCUUCGGCUCUCGCCUUUAGAUUGGCCCAAGUGGGAUUAGCUAGUUGGUGAGGUAAUGGCUCACCAAGGCGACGAUCCCUAGCUGGUUUGAGAGGAUGAUCAGCCACACUGGAACUGAGACACGGUCCAGACUCCUACGGGAGGCAGCAGUGGGGAAUAUUGCACAAUGGGCGCAAGCCUGAUGCAGCCAUGCCGCGUGUGUGAAGAAGGCCUUCGGGUUGUAAAGCACUUUCAGUCAGGAGGAAAGGUUAGUAGUUAAUACCUGCUAGCUGUGACGUUACUGACAGAAGAAGCACCGGCUAACUCCGUGCCAGCAGCCGCGGUAAUAC
RNAcentral lists this ribosomal RNA (507 nucleotides) under marine sediment bacterium ISA-3122. RNAcentral's name for it is "bacterial SSU rRNA". It matches the Rfam family "Bacterial small subunit ribosomal RNA", at positions 22 to 526 of the family's 1533-position model. RNAcentral also lists the same sequence under 1 other name. The record is from RNAcentral.